Molecule: ribosomal RNA, 257 nt
Filed under: uncultured Glomus
Lineage: Eukaryota; Fungi; Glomeromycota; Glomeromycetes; Glomerales; Glomeraceae
Description: partial 18S ribosomal RNA
Rfam family: Eukaryotic small subunit ribosomal RNA
Source: RNAcentral
AAGCUCGUAGUUGAAUUUCGGGAUUAGUGCGUCGGUCGUGCCUUAGGUACGUACUGGUGUUACUGGUUCCUACCUUCUGACGAACCAUCAUGUCAUUAAUUUGGUGUGGUGGGGAAUCAGGACUGUUACUUUGAAAAAAUUAGAGUGUUUAAAGCAGGCUCGCGCUUGAAUACAUUAGCAUGGAAUAAUGAAAUAGGACGUUGAUCCUAUUUUGUUGGUUUCUAGGAUUGACGUAAUGAUUAAUAGGGAUAGUUGGG